Molecule: ribosomal RNA, 326 nt
Filed under: uncultured eukaryote
Lineage: Eukaryota
Description: partial 18S ribosomal RNA
Rfam family: Eukaryotic small subunit ribosomal RNA
Source: RNAcentral
CCCUUAGAUGUUCUGGGCUGCACGCGCGCUACACUGAUGCGUUCAACGAGUUUUUAGCUUAUCUGAUAAGAUUGGCUAAUCUUCUGAAAACGCAUCGUGAUGGGGAUAGAUUAUUGUAAUUAUUAAUCUUCAACGAGGAAUUCCUAGUAGGUGUGAAUCAUCAGUUCACGCCGAUUACGUCCCUGCCCUUUGUACACACCGUCCGUCGCUCCUACCGAUUGAGUGAUCCGGUGAAUAAUUCGGACCGGUGAGCUUCCAGGUUUACCUGGCUGCUUGCUGGAAAGUCUAGUGAACCUUAUCACUUAGAGGAAGGAGAAGUCGUAACA